RNAcentral lists this ribosomal RNA (208 nucleotides) under uncultured bacterium. RNAcentral's name for it is "partial 16S ribosomal RNA". It matches the Rfam family "Bacterial small subunit ribosomal RNA", at positions 1293 to 1500 of the family's 1533-position model. The record is from RNAcentral.
UCGGAUUGCAGGCUGCAACUCGCCUGCAUGAAGUCGGAGUUGCUAGUAAUCGCAGAUCAGAAUGCUGCGGUGAAUGCGUUCCCGGGUCUUGUACACACCGCCCGUCACACCAUGGAAGCCGGUAACGCCCGAAGUCAGUGACCCAACCGAGAGGAGGGAGCUGCCGAAGGCGGGACAGGUAACUGGGGUGAAGUCGUAACAAGGUACC